Molecule: ribosomal RNA, 429 nt
Filed under: Bacillota bacterium
Lineage: Bacteria; Bacillati; Bacillota
Description: Firmicutes bacterium partial 16S ribosomal RNA
Rfam family: Bacterial small subunit ribosomal RNA
Source: RNAcentral
UAGGGAAUCUUCGGCAAUGGACGGAAGUCUGACCGAGCAACGCCGCGUGAGUGAAGAAGGUCUUCGGAUCGUAAAGCUCUGUUGUUAGAGAAGAACGCUGGUAGGAGUGGAAAAUCUACCAAGUGACGGUAACUAACCAGAAAGGGACGGCUAACUACGUGCCAGCAGCCGCGGUACUACGUAGGUCCCGAGCGUUGUCCGGAUUUAUUGGGCGUAAAGCGAGCGCAGGCGGUUCUUUAAGUCUGAAGUUAAAGGCAGUGGCUUAACCAUUGUACGCUUUGGAAACUGGAGGACUUGAGUGCAGAAGGUGAGAGUGGAAUUCCAUGUGUAGAGGUGAAAUGCGUAAGUAUAUGGAGGAACACCGGUGGCGAAAGCGGCUCUCUGGUCUGUAACUGACGCUGAGGCUCGAAAGCGUGAGGAGCAAACAGG